Molecule: long non-coding RNA, 5927 nt
Filed under: Manihot esculenta (cassava)
Lineage: Eukaryota; Viridiplantae; Streptophyta; Magnoliopsida; Malpighiales; Euphorbiaceae
Description: long non-coding RNA (MESC_LNC008139)
Source: RNAcentral
GAGGUUACUGAACUCAAUUGGCGGCCCUUACUGGUUAAGAACUCUUCCCUCUACCGAUCAGAACCCAACCAAUUCAUGAUUACCCGCCAUAGUGCAUGUCCACGGGGCCGAACCGAUGAAACCAGUUAGCUGACCGCAGAACCCACUGGCUCCUAACUGGGGACUAGCACAUCUGUCCAGUCUAUGAUCCCAAACAACAAUCUCUUCAUCUGAAGUUCAGUUCCUUAAGUUGGUUUGAGUCUGCAACUGGAUUAUCUGGGUCGUUUGUUUCUCUCGAUCAUCCCCGAUCAAAGCCUUCGGUACUUGCUUUCUCUGUUUGUGAAAAACCUUUCCUUUAUCUCUGGAUAUGAAAACCCAAUUGACCCAGUUCAUCUUAUUUUAUUAAUAUUCAUAAUAACACUAUACACCGACUGACAUUAUUUUCAUGCACACAACUUGGUAACUAUCUUGGUUAUGGUAUUGAUAUAGGCUGCUGCUUUAUUGCAAUUCAGUAGAGUUCAUUCUAUAGCUAGUGAUUUUGAUAUGUUGAGAGGAGAGAGAUAGCAGAUUGAUGGAAGUGUUUUGAUUUUAGUAUUCUUGGCAUUGUAUUUGUAUUUCAUUCUCUUAUCUGUAAAUAUAUCUACAAUUUGGAUAGUAACACUAUGAUACAAAAUUGUGUUGGCCAGCUGAUGGUAGCAGUGCUGCUAAUGAUUCAGAAUGUUGAGAAGGGAUACUCUGGUUUUCACCAAUCGCCUAUAGAUGCUUUCCAGCUCCUCUUCUGCCUCUUUAAUGCUUGACUCAAAUGCUUCCAAUUCUUUAAGAAGGUUUUGAAGUUGUGAAAGACUGAUCUCUUUGCUUGACUUCAAGAUGAGCAAUUCAGCAUCAAUCUUCUCUGCUUCAUUGACCUCAAUUUCCACUUCACAUGAGACGCGCUUGGUUUGCAAUAAUUUUGAGAUGACAGACCAGCCAGUGGGCACUGAUUUUGCCUUUGGCUCAGAAAUGAAAGAUAAUAUCGACUCAAACACCACAAGACCAAUUGCUUGAACUCCUCUUAGCAUGCUAAUCAUGUUCAGCAAAUCAGAAUUACUGUCCAAAACUGCUGUUGUGCAAUUUCUCUCCUUUUUCUUCAAAUUUUUUAGACAUUUGCAAAUUGCUUUAUUCAGAUUUUUUCUUGAUGCCAUAUAUGCAUCAACUUCGCUUGUCAAGCCACAGUCUCUGCCUUUUCUUCUACGGAUAGAUAAUUCAAACUCCUGAACACGUUCCUUCAUCUGUGAGAAAAAGUCUCUUGUGGAAUCACAAAAAUCCAACAAUUCCAGAGAUCCAUUCAAUGCAUUUUGUACAUACUGGCUUUGCCUCUCAGGGGACAGAGUCUGUUGGGCUUGUGGCAGUUGAAGUAAAUCAUCAACACACUCGAGCAAAUUCUUUAGGCCAUUCAAUUUGUGGCCUAUUGAUGAAGAUUGUGAUGCCUUCAACUUGUAUAGCUGCUCCUCAAUACUAACAGUUAGAGGAUGAGAUCUGGAUGGGAAGCUGAUUGAACGGAGAUGACAAGCAGCCAUUUGUUUCACUUCUAAAGAAGAAAGCCUACCAGGAAUGUGAAUAUGCAGGUAGUCUUGUUUUCUGUUUAACCCACUCCAUUGGGCAUCUUAUAUAUGUAUUAUGUAAGAGCAAAAGAAAUAGGAAUCAAGCUUCCUGAUCUACAUUAGCUGUCAUGUGCUGAGUUUUGCUACUGUCCAAGCAAUGUCUCAAGAUUGUUGUGUUGUGAUUAAGCAAUCUGAUUAAACAAGCACUUGAUUAUUGAUUAUAAUAUUGUCACAAUAAAUACCAUGCCUCUGACGUUCCAAUUCAUUGAGAUAACCAUCAAAAAGCUAUUUAAAUAGCAUGAAACUUGGAACCAUGCUUGCAUAUUAUGAUUCUAUUAACAUAAUCAUAAUAAUAGUUUAAUGUUAUUAUUUGAUAAAGUUGUUUGGUCAUUUGUUUACAUGUGCAGAAUUUGAUGACCUUCAAUAGAAUAUUAACAUCCACAAGUAAGGUGCAGCUUCCUUCCCAGACAAACAAGAACUGAUUAUUGUUUUUUCAUGUAUUAUCUGCACGCCAUUGGACAAUGAGAUUCUCGACACUUGACAAACUCUAGCUGUGAUGGCUGGUGUCUAGGAACAGGUAGAAUCUUGACAGCCUCUUUUUGCUUUAUAUUAGGCACAUUCUAUGCAUGGUGUAGAUAAAUAAUUUAUACUGAAAUCAUAGAAGAGAUGAUAAGAGUCUGGUUGACCAAAAGGGGACCAUGAUCCAUCCAUAUUGCUGCAGAGAAAGUGAAUCUGUCCUGUUUUUUCCCCAACCGUGGCAAUAAGAAAAAGAUGAGAGCAAAGUUUUGAAAUGCACUCCAUCUUUUUUAAUUAAAGAAAUGGCAAUAUGAUCCUAUUUUCAUAUAACUGAGUAACAAGGGUAGUAUAAAUAAUUUAGUCAUUUAAUUAAAUAAAAGAGAUGCAGUGAAGUGUAUUUAUAAAAUUAGAUCCAAUUGAUUAAACGAAAACUCCUACAAAAAAAUUCUAUGGGCUUUUUAGUGAUCAAGAAAUUCUUUUGGUUUUAUAUUUCCAAUACUUUAAUUUAAGUCUUGACUAUCAAGAAAAUCUAUAUAAUUUGGCUCUCAUUAGCUUCUAGUCUGAUCUGAUUUGCUCCAUUAACAGCAUAACUAAUUAUUUUUAAUGAUCAAGAAAAGAAGCUAUUGGAUUUGAGACAAAAUGCAAUGGCAUACACAAGAACAUGUUUGUGCUCAAAAUCUUUUGAUUGGUGAAAAGGAAAAUUCAUUUUCUCUAAGAAAUCAUAUACAUGCAUUUUUUUUCUAGUCAAGAUGUCAUGUAAAUUCAACAAAAUAACAUAAUUUGAACCUUUUCUUCUCUUUUUUCCUUUUGUUUUUCCUUUUUUUUUUGCCUGCAGUGAAGUGUGAAAUUGCAAUUGCAUCUUGAAUGGAAUAUGAAAUUCUGAAGAGAAUAUAUUUUUGAAGUGUGGAAGGCAAAUUGAUGGAAAAAUGAGCAAUCUUAACAUGUUAGUAUUGAAUUCAUUCUCUAUCUGUACAUAUCUACAAUUUGGAGUAGAACUCUAUGAAACAAAAUUGUGGUGAACAGUUGAUUGAAGCAACACCACUAAUGAUUCAGAAUGUUGAGAAGGGACACUCUGGUUUUCACCAAUAGCCUAUAUAGGCAUUCCAGCUCCUCUUCUGCCUCUUGCAUGCUAGACUCAAAUGCUUCCAAGUCUUUAAGAAGGCUUUGAAUUUGGGAGAGACUGAUGUCUUUGCUUGACUUCAGGAUAAGCAAUUCAGCAUCAAUCUUCUCUACUUCAUUUUCUUCAGUUUCCACAUCAUAUGAAACACGCUUCGACUGUAGCAAUUUUGGGAUUAGAAACCAGCCAGAGGGCAAUGAUUUUACCUUAGGCUGAGAAAUGAAAGAUAGGAUUGACUUGAACAUCACAAGACUAAUUCUCUGAACUCCUCUUAGCAUGCUGAUCAUGUUCUCCAAAUUGGAGUCCAAUGUUGUUAUUGUAAAAUGCAUCUCCUUUUUCUUCAAGUUUCUUAGACACUUGCUAAUUGCUUUGUUCAACUUCUUUCUAGAUACCAUGUAUGCAUCAACUUCUCUUGUGAAAUAGAGUCUGUGCUUUUUCUUCUGCGGAGAGAUAGUUCAAGUUCUUGCAAACAUUCCUUCAUCUGUGAGAAUAAAUCUCUUGUUGUAUCACAUAUAUCCAAUAGCUCCAGAGAUCCAUUCACUGCGUCUCCUAUGCACUGGUUUUGCCUCUCAUUGGAGAUUGUCUGUUGGACAAAUGACAGUUGAAGAAAAUCAUCAACAGACUCGAAUAAAUUCUUUAGGCCAUUCAAUUUGUGUCCUAUUGAUGAGGUUUCUGAUGUCCUCAACUUGCAUAACUGCUCUUCAAUGUUUACUCUUAGAGGAUGAGAUCUAGAAGGUAAGCUGAUUGAUCGGAGAUGACUAGCUGCCAUUUUUUUCCCUUCUAUUGAGGAAAGCCUAUAGAGAAUUUGAAUGUUGUAAUGGUCUUGGCUGUUGUUCAAACCAACACAUUGAACCUGUUAUAUAUGGAUGAGCAAUCGAUCAUAAGAAGAAUACCAUCUUCUUGAUCUACAUUAGCUGUCAUGUCCUGAGUUUUUGAGACAAUCUUGGCAACCUUUUGUCUGUGCAGUGCUGUUGGUGAGCUGUGAUUUAAAGAAUUGGGCGAUUAUUGGUUAAGUAUUGUUAUACAAACUACAAUUUCUGCGAGGUUCCAACAUCGAGAUCUCCAAGUAAUUAUAUAGCAUUGAUCUUGAAGACAAUGCAUGUAAUGACUCGAUUAAUAUAACCAAAUUAUUAAUUUAAAAUGGCAUUUGAUUGGGUUGUUAAUUUCCUGCUUUUGUUUGCAUGUGCAGAAGCCGAAGGACUGCAAUAAAAAUACUCAUCCACGAGCUGCAGCAUGCAGUUUCAUUAAUAAUUAAUGAGGCUUCUGAACAACUCUCGCUGCCAUGCGGUCCAGGGGUAAGUAGAAUCUUGACAGUCUUGGUUUCUUUUGAAUUCAGACACAGUCCAUGGAUGAUGGAGAUGUAUAAAUAGAAAUUAAAUUAAUAAUGCAACCACGCACAAAGGGGUUUAGCUUAGAUGAAUAAAAUGUUAUUAGAAUUUGGAAGACCAUAAGUGAAGCAUGAUCCACCUAUAUAUGGCCGGAUAUGCAGUUUCCCUGGUUUUUCAUUCAAAUGAAACUGAUGGAGAAGUAAUCAUAACUCCGCAGGCAAUGGUGUGAUUGGAUUAUUCAUGCUUGCUUGCCUUGUGAUAGAGACAUUAGAGUAGUUAUUCUCUGCCAUUUGGAGUUAGCAACCCAUUACAAAUUUCAUCACUAUUUUUUUUGUAGAAAACUUUUUAGUAUUGAAAAUCAGCUUUUUUCAUAAAAAAAAAACCAGUAAUUUAGAGAAACACUAUGAAUAUAAUUGAAGUGCUCAAUUAUAUGAGUAAAAAAGAAUGCAACAAAAGCCUAUAGUACAAUUCAAAAUAUGUACUACAAAUUCAAAAAUCAAAAUUAAUUAACAAUUCAAGGGCUCAAAUUAAAUUGGAAUGCAUGGUAUUAUCAUGGUUUUUUUAUUGCUCUUGUAGUCGAGAAUAAUGGAAACAGGUUUGUGACGGCUGUAUUAUAAUGGCAAUGGCCUAUCGCUAUUCAAAUUCUUUUGAAUAAUUUGCAAAGUUCAUGAUAUGAAGUUCAAUUCCUUGAGUGUGUUUGAGUCUGCAACUGGAUUUGGAUAUAUCAGUUGUUUGUUUCGCUGGAUCAACACUGACCAAAAGCAUCUGUACUUUUCUGUUUAUUUUUUUUUACUCUUUAUCUCUGGAUAUGAAAUCCCAUUAUCCUAGUUCAUCAUAUCCUGUUAAUUCUCGCAAUAAACUAUACACGUACAUUAAGUCAUGCGUACGUAACUACGUAUGUAGCUUGGAUAUGCUAUUAAUUGGGAAUGAUGUUUUGUAGCAAUUCAGUAGUGUUUACUCUAUUGAUAAUGAUUUUGUUAUGUUGAGAGGGGAGAGAAAGCAAAUUGAUGAAAAUAUUUUGCAAUCUUAGUAUUCUGGAUUGAACUUCAUUCUCUAUCUGUAUAUAUACAAAUAUAUCUACAAUUUGGUGUAUAACUCUAUGAUACAAAAUUGUGGUGAGCAGCUGAUGGAAGCAAUAGCUAAUGAUUCAGAAUGUUGAGAAGGGAAACUCUGGUUUUCACCAAUCGUCUAUAGACGCAUUCCAGAUCCUCUUCUGCCUCUUUAAUGCUCGACUCAAAUGCUUCCAAUUCUUUGAGAAGGUUUUGAAGUUGUGAAACUUUGAUGUCUUUGCUUGACUUCAGGAUAAGCAAUUCAGCGUCUAUCUUUUCAACUUCAUUGACUUCAAUUUCCACUUCACAUGAAACACGCUUGGACUGCAGCAAUUUUGGGAUUACAAACCAGCCCGAG